GGUCACGUACUGGUCCCAGUAAGGCUUUGGUGAGCGUCCCAGUAUGGUCCCAGUUGGGGUCAGGUACUGGUCCCAGUUAGGCCCUGAUAGGGGGCAGAUGCUGGUCCCAGUAGGGAUCACAUACUUGUCCCAGUAGGGUCUCAGUGAGGGUCACGUACUCGUCCCAGUGAGGGUCAUGUACUGGUCCCAGUGAGGCUUCGACAUCAACGAGCUGAACUUGCCCAAGACGUGUGAGAUCGACUUCUCGGACCAGGACGAUCUCCUGCACUUCCGGCUGCUCAUCUGCCCCGACGAGGUGGGACCUGAUUGUCACCUGUGUCACCUGUGUCACCUGUCACCUGUGUCACCUGUGUGUCACCUGUGUCACCUGUGUGUCACCUGUGUCACCUGUGUGUCACCUGUGUCACCUGUGUGUCACCUGUGUCACCUGUCUGUCACCUGUGUCACCUGUGUCACCUGUCUGUCACCUGUGUGUCAUCUGUGUCACCUGUGUCACCUGUGUCACCUGUGUCACCUGUGUGUCACCUGUCUGUCACCUGUGUGUCACCUUGUGUCACCUGAUUGUCACCUGUGUCACCUGUCUGUCACCUGUGUCACCUGUGUGUCACCUGUGUGUCACCUGUGUCACCUGUCUGUCACCUGUGUGUCACCUGUGUCACACCUGUGUCACCUGUCUGUCACCUGUGUGUCACCUGUGUGUCACCUGUCUGUCACCUGUGUGUCACCUGUCACCUGUGUCACACCUGUGUGUCACCUGUGUGUCACCUGUGUGUCACCUGUGUCACACCUGUGUGUCACCUGUGUCACACCUGGACACACUGACCAUAGAGAUCCACCACGGCGUACACCUCUGCGACAGCGGGGACACCUGUGUCACUGUCACCUGUGUGUCACCUGUGUCACCUGUGUGUCACCUGUGUGUCACCUGUGUCACCUGUGUCACACCUGUGUCACACCUGUGUCACACCUGGACACACUGACCAUAGAGAUCCACCACAGCGUACACCUCUGCGACAGCGGGGACACCUGUGUCACUGUCACCUGUGUCACCUGUGUCUCCUGUGUCACACCUGUGUGUCACCUGUGUGUCACCUGUCUGUCACCUGUGUCACACCUGUGUCACACCUGUGUCACACCUGGACACACUGACCAUAGAGAUCCACCACAGCGUACACCUCUGCGACAGCGGGGACACCUGUGUCACUGUCACCUGUGUGUCACCUGUGUCACCUGUGUCACACCUGUGUGUCACCUGUGUCACCUGUGUCACCUGUGUGUCACCUGUGUCACCUGUGUGUCACCUGUGUCACCUGUGUGUCACCUGUGUGUCACCUGUGUCACCUGUCUGUCACCUGUGUCACCUGUGUCACCU
Cyanistes caeruleus (blue tit) is the source of this 1372-nucleotide long non-coding RNA. Lineage: Eukaryota; Metazoa; Chordata; Aves; Passeriformes; Paridae. The record is from Ensembl.